RNAcentral lists this ribosomal RNA (775 nucleotides) under Salmonella enterica. Its description in RNAcentral is "partial 23S ribosomal RNA". It matches the Rfam family "Bacterial large subunit ribosomal RNA", at positions 415 to 1191 of the family's 2925-position model. Lineage: Bacteria; Pseudomonadati; Pseudomonadota; Gammaproteobacteria; Enterobacterales; Enterobacteriaceae. The record is from RNAcentral.
GGGCGGGACACGUGGUAUCCUGUCUGAAUAUGGGGGGACCAUCCUCCAAGGCUAAAUACUCCUGACUGACCGAUAGUGAACCAGUACCGUGAGGGAAAGGCGAAAAGAACCCCGGCGAGGGGAGUGAAAAAGAACCUGAAACCGUGUACGUACAAGCAGUGGGAGCACCCUUUGGGGUGUGACUGCGUACCUUUUGUAUAAUGGGUCAGCGACUUAUAUUCUGUAGCAAGGUUAACCGAAUAGGGGAGCCGGAGGGAAACCGAGUCUUAAUUGGGCGUUAAGUUGCAGGGUAUAGACCCGAAACCCGGUGAUCUAGCCAUGGGCAGGUUGAAGGUUGGGUAACACUAACUGGAGGACCGAACCGACUAAUGUUGAAAAAUUAGCGGAUGACCUGUGGCUGGGGGUGAAAGGCCAAUCAAACCGGGAGAUAGCUGGUUCUCCCCGAAAGCUAUUUAGGUAGCGCCUCGUGAAUUCAUCUCCGGGGGUAGAGCACUGUUUCGGCUAGGGGGCCAUCCCGGCUUACCAACCCGAUGCAAACUGCGAAUACCGGAGAAUGUUAUCACGGGAGACACACGGCGGGUGCUAACGUCCGUCGUGAAGAGGGAAACAACCCAGACCGCCAGCUAAGGUCCCAAAGUCAUGGUUAAGUGGGAAACGAUGUGGGAAGGCCCAGACAGCCAGGAUGUUGGCUUAGAAGCAGCCAUCAUUUAAAGAAAGCGUAAUAGCUCACUGGUCGAGUCGGCCUGCGCGGAAGAUGUAACGGGGCUAAACCAUG